RNAcentral lists this ribosomal RNA (254 nucleotides) under uncultured bacterium. RNAcentral's name for it is "partial 16S ribosomal RNA". It matches the Rfam family "Bacterial small subunit ribosomal RNA", at positions 524 to 776 of the family's 1533-position model. The record is from RNAcentral.
UACGAAGGGGGCUAGCGUUGUUCGGAAUUACUGGGCGUAAAGCGCGCGCAGGCGGUUCUUUAAGUCAGGGGUGAAAGCCCAGAGCUCAACUCUGGAAUUGCCUUUGAAACUAGAGGACUUGAGUACGGGAGAGGUGAGUGGGAAUUCCGAGUGUAGAGGUGAAAUUCGUAGAUAUUCGGAAGAACACCAGUGGCGAAAGGCGGCUCACUGGCCGUUACUGACGCUCAGGCGCGACAGCGUGGGGAGCAAACAGG